Non-coding RNA from Drosophila virilis, 862 nucleotides. The record is from RefSeq and is a predicted model, not a curated record. NCBI's taxonomy places the organism in Eukaryota, Metazoa, Arthropoda, Insecta, Diptera, Drosophilidae.
GAUGGCUGAAGAUGUGAAAUUAACCACAGACUAUAUAGAGCAGAUCCUAGUAGCAUUUAGAAAGAAGGCAACACAUAAAUUCAAAUCAAUAUAUAUCUACAUUAUAACCACAAAUGCAACACGCAAAUUAAGGACAGAAAAAAAAAAUAGAAAAAAAUAAACAAAAACAAUACGAAAACUAAAAUUUAAGGAACCGUCUAGCAAAGCUGAACAACCUGCAUUCAUGUGGAGCUUCUAUGGGAAUGCACGUACAAAAACAAAAACGAGAAUUGUUAACUGUUCGGCGUCGGCAGCGACAGCAACGUGACAAUCCAAACACAAGCACGAUUCGUUCAAAACUGUCGCCUGUGUGGGCCAACAGCAAGACUUUUAAUGACAAUAACGUUUAAUUCGCUGCCGCAGCCGCAGCCGCUGCCGUUGCUGCUGCCGCCUCUGUUGCGCUCCGACGCUCUCAGUUCGUAACGGACGCGCUCCCAGCCGCUCGCGCACGGCUGCUGCGAUCACAACGUUUUUAUUUUAUUUUUUUUUUCUUUUUCCUACUCUUACAGUAACUGUUAAGGCUCUGGCGGCUGACUGCUGUGUGCAAAUGUUUGGGGGUGCAGCAGGUGCGCUGUUAAUUAACAGAGCAUGUGUAGGCGCUUUUAAGCGCCAGCCAAAGGUUUUAAAAGUCAAACAACUUUUCACAGAUGUCAAAUGUCUGCGUGUGUGUGUGUGUGUGUGUGUGUGUGUACGUACACAAAUAUAUAGAGCCUAUGUGCAAUUUGUUACACGCAUUUACAAAGCGCUGCUAAGCUUAUGCAUUUACUUGAUAUUUACAAAGGCACAAUUUAAAUAUGAUGAAUAUAGUUAUUAUAAACUCAGA